Molecule: ribosomal RNA, 534 nt
Filed under: Pseudoxanthomonas japonensis
Lineage: Bacteria; Pseudomonadati; Pseudomonadota; Gammaproteobacteria; Lysobacterales; Lysobacteraceae
Description: bacterial SSU rRNA
Rfam family: Bacterial small subunit ribosomal RNA
Source: RNAcentral
GCCUGAUCCAGCCAUACCGCGUGGGUGAAGAAGGCCUUCGGGUUGUAAAGCCCUUUUGUUGGGAAAGAAAUCCUGUCGGUUAAUAACCGGUGGGGAUGACGGUACCCAAAGAAUAAGCACCGGCUAACUUCGUGCCAGCAGCCGCGGUAAUACGAAGGGUGCAAGCGUUACUCGGAAUUACUGGGCGUAAAGCGUGCGUAGGUGGUGGUUUAAGUCUGCUGUGAAAGCCCUGGGCUCAACCUGGGAAUUGCAGUGGAUACUGGAUCACUAGAGUGUGGUAGAGGGAUGCGGAAUUUCUGGUGUAGCAGUGAAAUGCGUAGAGAUCAGAAGGAACAUCCGUGGCGAAGGCGGCAUCCUGGGCCAACACUGACACUGAGGCACGAAAGCGUGGGGAGCAAACAGGAUUAGAUACCCUGGUAGUCCACGCCCUAAACGAUGCGAACUGGAUGUUGGGUGCAACUUGGCACCCAGUAUCGAAGCUAACGCGUUAAGUUCGCCGCCUGGGGAGUACGGUCGCAAGACUGAAACUCAAAG